GCUCUUUAAAAAUAAGGUUUUAAACUUAUUUAAAAAAUUUUUAAAGUAACAAACCACAAAUUCCUUUUCCAAAUCUUUUAAAGACUGUGAAUCUUUUUCAAAAUUCUCCAGCUCCUCUAUGAUAAUGAAUUGGAAUUUAUCAAGUUUUUUAAUCCUAUUACAGAAACAAAAUGAGAUUAAUUUUAAAAACUGUAGCAUUCAGAAUAUAGGAAUAUGUAGCAUUCAAAAGUUUUCAGAACAGAUUUUUAUUACAGACCUAGAGUCCUGACUUUGAUGAUUCAUUGUUCUCAGAUGUUGCUGAGCUGUUUUCCAAGACUGCGUAGUAAAAUAACUCAACAUUUUAUGUCGGAUCUGAAAAAUACUCAUUUUUAAGUUAAAAUAUCUUUACAAAAUAACACUCUAACCAAGACUACAGUAACAGCAAAUAAUUUUCCACGAAAUGUAAAUUACUAAGAAGAACUUGGAAAAGUGAAAAAUUAAAAACUCAGUUAUUUAAACUGAAGUGUUAAUAGACACUGCUCUGAGUGAACUUAUUUAACUCCAUCAGUAGGUCUUUGACUAAGGGUUGAGUCCACAAUUGUUUUCAUAAGAACCCCACACUCUACAGUAUUUACAAAAAUGCUGAUGGUUAUAAUUCUCUUCAAAGACACAGCCUAAAAGUCACACUCAGAAUUUUUUAAAACCAUUUUUUUCACAAAAACAUAAAUCUAGCUACAGACACAUAGGAGAAUAUAUAAGUCAAAGCUUCUCUAUUCAGAUUAGGUUGGCCUUGGGCCAAAAAAAAAAAAAAAAAAAAAGAAACAGAAAAAACAAGCAAUUUCUAAUUUUAACCCUGAAUAUAGGAGAAAGGAAAGCAAGACUGGGGGCGGGGGGGGGGGGGGAGGGUGUUGAUAACCUGUGCCCAAAAUAUCUUUUAUUCAAAGGAGGGCAUAAAAAACUAAAAAACUAUCGAUUCCAAAUAGAGGCAUGUGAAAGAGAUAGGCAGAAAUAUAUUACUAAUAAUUAAAAACUGUUUUAAAAAGCAUUUUUGCAUUAUCUCACUGGAACCUCAAAAACUAAGACUACAUAACUAUAAUACAAAACUAGUAAAACAAAAUGAAAUGGUAUUGCUCUGACUGCAGCUGCUCAUUCUUUAUACUACACUAUACUAUCUUCAUUAAUGCUCACCUAAAUGACAUAAAAAAUGUCUUGAAAAGUGGCAUGAAAACUGUCCAGUAAAAAAAAAAAAAAAAUCACAGAAAAGCCAAAACAUUAAACUGAAAAGGAAAAUAGGACAAAAGAGAAAAAAGUAGUAGCAAAAGAAAGAAUACGGGUAAUAUACAGAUUUUAUUCCAAUUAUUCACAUAUAAGGAAAGUUGGUUUCAUGAAUGGAUAUUUUGUUGCCAAAGGAUCAAACAAGCCAAUGGUCUAGUAGAAAGUGUGGCAUAUUAUUAUAUUAUUGGGUAUAAAUCAUAAUUUAAAGAAUAACUCACAUUAUUCCUUCUCUUAAAUUCUGAAUUGAGCCUCUCGUAAGUCUCAUAAGUCAUCUCUAUCCCUGCAAAUUCAUUUUGCCAGGUCUCCCAAGGAAUAGAAAAGUCAUUUGUUGAUAAUGAAGAUACACUUUCAGACACUAAAAAAUGAAAACAAUCUGCUGAAGUUAAAAUAUGCAUUACUCUAAAUUUAGCCUUGUAAUUAGGCUAAGAACAAAAUCUAUCUUAUUUUCCGAAUCUAUGUGUAACCUAAGGAUUAUGAAAUCAAAGGCAGAAGAGUUCCUUAUGUUUUUUUUAAUUUAAAAAUCAGAUUAUUCUGAUUUAUAAAACAAACUUUUUGGUAUGGCUAUUACAGCAGAAAUGACUACUUUAAGCUGGAACAUUUAUGGAUUAUUUUUAACUGCUUUUUAACUAGUUCCACAUUAUUAUUAGGUAUUUAGUGAGGUACUAGCACAUCAGUAAAUUCAUACUCUAGUUAACCUAAAUGUGAUAGUAAGUGACAGAAUGAUGAGGGAGAUCUAUGGGCAUCUAAGACCCUUACUACAACAAUUAUUCAUAUAAAUGUGAACUUUGCAAUAAAGCAUCAUCCAUCUUGGACAUAUCCAAAGUUGUCUUUACAAAUUUGUUUUGUAAAUAGACUCAUUCAAAAUAUAAGAACCACCCUCCAAAUAACUGCAUUUUGAUACAGGCUACUGAUCUACCUACUUUUGUGGAUAUGAUGAUCUGCAUCUUCAAUUUUACACAGUUUUUUGGGAAGCAAGUUUGCUCUCCUUUCUCCUUUCUCUUCCAUUUCUACUUCAUUGGAAUUACUUAGAUUAUCUUCUAUAUAUAUUCUUUUGCGACUAAGAUGUUGGGUGGGGC
This 2330-nucleotide long non-coding RNA is filed under the name Homo sapiens (human). Its description in RNAcentral is "HSALNT0269942". The record is from RNAcentral. Lineage: Eukaryota; Metazoa; Chordata; Mammalia; Primates; Hominidae.